This 2087-nucleotide long non-coding RNA is filed under the name Nicotiana tabacum (common tobacco). RNAcentral describes it as "long non-coding RNA (NTAB_LNC005045)". The record is from RNAcentral. Lineage: Eukaryota; Viridiplantae; Streptophyta; Magnoliopsida; Solanales; Solanaceae.
AACCCGCAAUGAUGCCAAAUUUUGCAGACAAGUCCAAAAUGACAUAACAGAGCUGCUCCAACUCUUGGAAUCGCAUUCCGUCCCCAAUAUCACAAAAGUCAACUAUGGGUCAAACUUUCUCCAUUUUCCAAACUUCAACUUUUCCAACUUUCGCCAAAAUGCCUCAAUUUACCAUACGGACCUCCAAAUUUGAAUCCGGAUGCGCGCCUAAGUCCAUAAUCACUAUACGAAGCUGUUGGAUUCAUCAAAAAUUCAUUCCGGGGCCGUUUACUCAAAAGUCCAGUUCCGAUCAAAUUCUCACCUUUCAAACUUCCAAAACUAGAUUCCUUCUUCCAAUUUGACUCUGAAUCAUCCAUUGACUGAAUUCAACCAUACAUGCAAGUCGAUUCUCGUAUUAUGAAGCUGUUCAAGACCAUGCGCCACUGAACGGAGCUUAAAUUCUCAAAAUGACCGGACGAGUCGUUACAACAGUAGCCUAGUUUACUUCUCUUUUUCAAUCAAGCACAUAGAGUACAACACAAAUAGAUAUACCUAGCAGAGAUUUUAUAACAACAAACACUUAAGGUUAAUUAGAAGCUUGAUUCAUAAAUUUCAGAUGAGCACACACAAAAAUUUGACUUGAGGCAGACAUAGUCAAAAAUGAUCCUAACACUUCAAACAGACUUCUCGUUUGAAAAACCGAGAGUCAGUAAAGGCAACUUCAAAAGGAUUCAACUAGUCAUUCUCAGAAUCAGCUCGCAAAUAGUAAAACACUGAUAACAGGAUUCAAAAGAAUCUAAGCUCGAAUUAAGAGUAAAUGAACAUAAAAGGGUCCAAAGUUCCACUUAGCAUACAUGCAAUUUGAAUGUAAGACCAAAUAAGACCUUGAUUCACUCAAAAUCCAUGCCAAAAGCCAAACAACUUUAUGGAAAGAAACUGACGAACCAAGACGAUAUUUCAAAGCACCUAUCUCUUUAAAUAAACCAUUUAGAAACUAACACCAUUAGCAGCAAAACCAAACCGAUUCAAAUGUAGAAGAAAUUAAUGUGAACUUAAAGAGAACUAAUUGCAAAAUAAAAAAUAUUCAAAUCUGUUCUUGAUUUUUAAUCUAGCAACGUGUAUACUAAUUUAAGACUCUCAAAGAAAGUUAAACACCAAAUUAAUGCAACCAAGUAACCGGAUAUGCAGCCAUAAACUAGAUUAUUCACAUUUCCAUAAAGAUACAUGAAUACCAUAUUCAGAAUAGAGUAACAGAAUGGAUGCCUCAGUUUUUAAAGCUUGCAUUCACAACUUCAGGAAAAUUGACACAUGAAUACAAUCAAAGCGACAUAAAAAAACCACGGCUCUUAUCAUGUUUUCAACCAAUCAUCAAAAGCAAUUAAGGAAGAACCAAGAAAUGAACCUGAGAAUGCAAAAUUCUUCAAUUAAACUUGUUUGGACUCGAAUACAAUAAAUCCGACAAUGAAUACUUAAAACAAUAGCAACAGACAAAUAGGAACCGAACCAACGACAAAACUCGAAUGACAAACUUGAUUUUCGGCUCAAUCAAUCUCCAUGUUGAAACCAAAAUUCAAAAUUAAAAUUGAAGAUAUAUAUAUAUAUUUUCUGAAUUCAAAAUCUAAAAAAAAAUAGAAUUCAACAAGACCCCCAACCCCCCCCCCCCCAAAAAAAAUCAAAACUAGAAAUGAGAAGAAAACCCCUUUUUGUGAAACCCUAAUUUUUCUUCCAAAUCUCCUCCUCUUUUCCGAAUCAAAUCCUCUCUUUUAUAGACACAUUUUGAAAAGAUAGAGGGAUAGGAUUAACCUUAAAUCAAUCCUAAGGCUCCUAUCUCUCUAGCACAUGUCUUCUAGAGAGAUCGAUGCGUGAUUUUGGUUAGUAGGAAGCGAGUGAAAGAGGGAUGUGAGUAUUGAGAAUAUUCCUUCUGUCAGAGGCCGUUAGGGUUGGUGACGUGGAAGAAGGUAUAGAGACGGGGUGACCAUGUGUAGGUUUAGAGGUGAACUCGCCUGAAACUCAGACGAGUUUUGGGCGAUCUUGGACGAGACAGAAACGGAGCUGGGGGUGGGCGCCAUUUUGGUUGUGAGGGGAUUAGGUCUAGGGUUUAUUUUGUG